UUGGAGGGCAAGUCUGGUGCCAGCAGCCGCGGUAAUUCCAGCUCCAAUAGCGUAUAUUAAAGUUGUUGCAGUUAAAAAGCUCGUAGUUGAAUUUCGGGAUCAGUACGUUGGUCGUGCCUUAGGUACGUACUGGUGUUACUGGUUCCUACCUUCUGACGAACCAUCAUGUCAUUCAUUUGGUGUGGCGGGGAAUCAGGACUGUUACUUUGAAAAAAUUAGAGUGUUUAAAGCAGGCUCGCGCUUGAAUACAUUAGCAUGGAAUAAUGAAAUAGGACGUUGAUCCUAUUUUGUUGGUUUCUAGGAUUGACGUAAUGAUUAACAGGGAUAGUUGGGGGCAUUAGUAUUCAAUUGUCAGAGGUGAAAUUCUUGGAUUUAUUGAAGACUAACUACUGCGAAAGCAUUUGCCAAGGAUGUUUUCAUUAAUCAAGAACGAAAGUUAGGGGAUCGAAGACGAUCAGAUACCGUCGUAGUCUUAACCAUAAACUAUGCCGACUAGGGAUCGGAUGAUGUUAAUUUUUUAAUGACUCAUUCGGCGCCUUACGGGAAAC
RNAcentral lists this ribosomal RNA (548 nucleotides) under uncultured Glomeromycotina. RNAcentral's name for it is "SSU rRNA". It matches the Rfam family "Eukaryotic small subunit ribosomal RNA", at positions 548 to 1098 of the family's 1831-position model. Lineage: Eukaryota; Fungi; Glomeromycota. The record is from RNAcentral.